UAUAUUCGUUCAUAUAUACUGUAUUUUUUUAGUCAUCGGAUAUUAUUUAGGACUCAUAUGAGCCAAUUUUGAGGAAAAUUGUUUAUAAAAAUGCACGAAUUUUUCGUGCCAAAUAGUCCACUUUAACAUUUGCAUUACGAGAGAUUAAAGAUAAAUAAAAAAUGAGAAUUCUUCUUUGUCGCUCUGAAACUCCUCCAAAUAAAUUGAAAAUGCUGGCCAUUCGGUUGGGAAGACACCUUCUUCACCAGGUCUGAACAGUCCGUAAAAAUAGCUACUUGUCGGCACCAAUCAUAAAAAAUAUUAGUUAUCAUGAUUUUUAUGACCAUGAUUUUUAAAAAUAUAAUAGAUAAAAAA
RNAcentral lists this small RNA (354 nucleotides) under Arabidopsis thaliana (thale cress). Its description in RNAcentral is "ATSL191350". The record is from RNAcentral. Lineage: Eukaryota; Viridiplantae; Streptophyta; Magnoliopsida; Brassicales; Brassicaceae.